UGGGGAAUUUUGCACAAUGGGGGAAACCCUGAUGCAGCGACGCCGCGUGAUUUAGAAGGCCUUCGGGUUGUAAAAAUCUUUUCUAUGGGAAGAAAAUGACAGUACCAUAGGAAUAAGGACCGGCUAAUUACGUGCCAGCAGCCGCGGUAAUACGUAAGGUCCGAGCGUUGUCCGGAAUCAUUGGGCGUAAAGGGUACGUAGGCGGGUAAGCAAGUUAGAAGUGAAAUCCUAUAGCUCAACCAUAGUAAGCUUUUAAAACUGCUCAUCUUGAGGUAUGGAAGGGAAAGUGGAAUUCCUAGUGUAGCGGUGAAAUGCGCAGAUAUUAGGAGGAAUACCGGUGGCGAAGGCGACUUUCUGGCCAUAACCUGACGCUGAGGUACGAAAGCGUGGGUAGUAAACAGG
This 402-nucleotide ribosomal RNA is filed under the name bacterium. RNAcentral's name for it is "partial 16S ribosomal RNA". It matches the Rfam family "Bacterial small subunit ribosomal RNA", at positions 355 to 776 of the family's 1533-position model. The record is from RNAcentral.